CCUACGGGAGGCAGCAGUGAGGAAUAUUGGUCAAUGGGCGAGAGCCUGAACCAGCCAAGUCGCGUGAGGGAAGAAUGGUCUAUGGCCUGUAAACCUCUUUUGCCAGGGAAGAAUAAAAGGUACGUGUACCUUCUUGCCAGUACCUGACGAAUAAGCAUCGGCUAACUCCGUGCCAGCAGCCGCGGUAAUACGGGGGAUGCGAGCGUUAUCCGGAUUUAUUGGGUUUAAAGGGCGCGUAGGCGGGACGUCAAGUCAGCGGUAAAAGACUGCAGCUAAACUGUAGCACGCCGUUGAAACUGGCGCCCUCGAGACGAGACGAGGGAGGCGGAACAAGUGAAGUAGCGGUGAAAUGCAUAGAUAUCACUUGGAACCCCGAUAGCGAAGGCAGCUUCCCAGGCUCGUUCUGACGCUGAUGCGCGAGAGC
RNAcentral lists this ribosomal RNA (424 nucleotides) under uncultured Bacteroides sp. Its description in RNAcentral is "bacterial SSU rRNA". It matches the Rfam family "Bacterial small subunit ribosomal RNA", at positions 338 to 760 of the family's 1533-position model. The record is from RNAcentral. Lineage: Bacteria; Pseudomonadati; Bacteroidota; Bacteroidia; Bacteroidales; Bacteroidaceae.